GACGAACGCUGGCGGCGUGCUUAACACAUGCAAGUCGAACGGAAAGGCCCUGCUUUUGUGGGGUGCUCGAGUGGCGAAAGGGUGAGUAACACGUGAGUAACCUGCCCUUGACUUUGGGAUAACUUCAGGAAACUGGGGCUAAUACCGGAUAGGAGCUCCUGCUGCAUGGUGGGGGUUGGAAAGUUUCGGCGGUUGGGGAUGGACUCGCGGCUUAUCAGCUUGUUGGUGGGGUAGUGGCUUACCAAGGCUUUGACGGGUAGCCGGCCUGAGAGGGGGACCGGCCACAUUGGGACUGAGAUACGGCCCAGACUCCUACGGGAGGCAGCAGUGGGGAAUAUUGCACAAUGGGCGGAAGCCUGAUGCAGCAACGCCGCGUGCGGGAUGACGGCCUUCGGGUUGUAAACCGCUUUCGCCUGUGACGAAGCGUGAGUGACGGUAAUGGGUAAAGAAGCACCGGCUAACUACGUG
This 468-nucleotide ribosomal RNA is filed under the name uncultured bacterium. RNAcentral describes it as "partial 16S ribosomal RNA". It matches the Rfam family "Bacterial small subunit ribosomal RNA", at positions 28 to 507 of the family's 1533-position model. The record is from RNAcentral.